AUAUUGCACAAUGGGGGAAACCCUGAUGCAGCGACGCCGCGUGGGUGAAGGAGCGCUUCGGCGUGUAAAGCCCUAUCAGCAGGGAAGAAAGAAGACGGUACCUGACUAAGAAGCCCCGGCUAACUACGUUCCAGCAGCCGCGGUAAUACGUAGGGGGCAAGCGUUAUCCGGAUUUACUGGGUGUAAAGGGAGCGUAGACGGGAUAGCAAGUCUGAAGUGAAAGCCCGGGGCUCAACCCCGGGACUGCUUUGGAAACUGUUGACCUGGAGUGCUGGAGAGGCAAGUGGAAUUCCUAGUGUAGCGGUGAAAUGCGUAGAUAUUAGGAGGAACACCAGUGGCGAAGGCGGCUUGCUGGACAGUGACUGACGUUGAGGCUCGAAAGCGUGGGGAGCAAACA
Molecule: ribosomal RNA, 397 nt
Filed under: uncultured bacterium
Lineage: Bacteria
Description: bacterial SSU rRNA
Rfam family: Bacterial small subunit ribosomal RNA
Source: RNAcentral